Molecule: non-coding RNA, 82 nt
Filed under: Acholeplasma oculi
Lineage: Bacteria; Bacillati; Mycoplasmatota; Mollicutes; Acholeplasmatales; Acholeplasmataceae
Description: c-di-GMP sequence
Rfam family: c-di-GMP-I riboswitch aptamer
About the family: GEMM was predicted in a large-scale screen for bacterial structured RNA regulatory elements. Genes associated with GEMM are involved in a diverse array of functions, including chemotaxis regulation, signal transduction, secretion and chitin.
Source: Rfam by way of RNAcentral
UCAAAAAAAGGGCAAAAUUAGAGGAAUCUAAUGACGCAAAACUAUAGGGCCUAAAACAAAAUUAAGGUAGCCAGUUGCUAGU